RNAcentral lists this ribosomal RNA (468 nucleotides) under uncultured bacterium. RNAcentral describes it as "partial 16S ribosomal RNA". It matches the Rfam family "Bacterial small subunit ribosomal RNA", at positions 28 to 507 of the family's 1533-position model. The record is from RNAcentral.
GACGAACGCUGGCGGCGUGCUUAACACAUGCAAGUCGAACGGUGAAGCUCCAGCUUGCUGGAGUGGAUCAGUGGCGAACGGGUGAGUAACACGUGAGCAACCUGCCCCUGACUCUGGAAUAAGCGCUGGAAACGGCGUCUAAUACUGGAUACGAGAAGGGUCCGCAUGGGAACUUUCUGGAAAGCUUUUCGGUUGGGGAUGGGCUCGCGGCCUACCAGCUUGUUGGUGGGGGAAUGGCUCACCAAGGCGACGACGGGUAGCCGGCCUGAGAGGGCGACCGGCCACACGGGGACUGAGGCACGGCCCAGACUCCUACGGGAGGCAGCAGUGGGGAAUAUUGCACAAUGGGCGAAAGCCUGAUGCAGCGACGCCGCGUGAGGGAUGACGGCCUUCGGGUUGUAAACCUCUUUCAGCAGGGAAGAAGCGAAAGUGACGGUACCUGCAGAAGAAGCACCGGCUAACUACGCG